This is a long non-coding RNA of Coffea eugenioides, 893 nucleotides long. RefSeq lists it as uncharacterized. Lineage: Eukaryota; Viridiplantae; Streptophyta; Magnoliopsida; Gentianales; Rubiaceae. The transcript is spliced from 3 exons. The record is from RefSeq and is a predicted model, not a curated record.
AAUUUAAACUUAUAAGCUGAAAUAAGGAUAAUUGAAGUUAAACCGUUUAACAUCACAUUUUCUGGUUCCCCAAACCCCACAAAACCCUGACGGGCAAAGUUAGCAAGCUCGCUACUAUCGCCGGUCAGAAAUUCGCCGGCGGCCUGCCUAUCCAGAAAUUGGAAAAAGGAAAGGAAAAGGCCUUUAUUUUUUUUGGAUGAAUUAAGGAGAAGAGAGAGAAAAUGCCCAAUCGAACUCGGCCGAUGACAGCAUUAUUGGUGUUUACCGGACUCAAUGCCAUUUUGGUCUCAACAAUUGAACCAGUCUACGAUUUCGUCUGCUUCCAUCCCUAUUGGGAACGCAGGAGAGAACGCCGGCGUCAGGAACGUGAGGCUGCACUGGCGAAGGGUCCGGUAUCGCAUUGAAAAUUAUAGCAAUGGAAAGUGUCCUGGAUAAGCUUUCCAUCCAUCAUCCUAUAGUAUUUUGUGAUUUGUAAGGGAAGGAAAGACUUGGAACUAAAAAUUCUACAAAAGAAACAGUAAGAAACAGAAAAAGUGGGUAAAAAAAAUACUUUCCUUCACUUGAAUCUUUACCAAUGAUUUUGGGAGCUACCCUGAAGCACAUCCUUUGGAGCACUUUUGGCAGAAAAAGUUUUGACUGAAUUUUAAUCUCAUGCUGAGGGAAAUAACUGUUGUAGCUUUGGGACUUCACUAUGUAAAGUAUGACUUGGAGGUUGGACAUGUUACAUGUAAAGGCUCCUUCGUAGGUUUAUCCACCAUAUGUAAGUAAAACUAGGGGUGUUUCUUUUGAAAUUUUGGUGGUCACAGUGCCUUCUUUCAUUUUUCAGGAAAAAAUUGGUUGAUGCAAACUAUUCUGUUCAUCCUGUGUUAUUUAUCCUCUUUGCUGGUUCCUUA